ACGAACGCUGGCGGCGUGCUUAACCCCUGCAAGUCGAACGGAAAGGCCCUGCUUUUGUGGGGUGCUCGAGUGGCGAACGGGUGAGUAACACGUGAGUAACCUGCCCUUGACUUUGGGAUAACUUCAGGAAACUGGGGCUAAUACCGGAUAGGAGCUCCCGCUGCAUGGUGGGGGUUGGAAAGUUUCGGCGGUUGGGGAUGGACUCGCGGCUUAUCAGCUUGUUGGUGGGGUAGUGGCUUACCAAGGCUUUGACGGGUAGCCGGCCUGAGAGGGUGACCGGCCACAUUGGGACUGAGAUACGGCCCAGACUCCUACGGGAGGCAGCAGUGGGGAAUAUUGCACAAUGGGCGGAAGCCUGAUGCAGCAACGCCGCGUGCGGGAUGACGGCCUUCGGGUUGUAAACCGCUUUCGCCUGUGACGAAGCGUGAGUGACGGUAAUGGGUAAAGAAGCACCGGCUAACUACGUG
Molecule: ribosomal RNA, 467 nt
Filed under: uncultured bacterium
Lineage: Bacteria
Description: partial 16S ribosomal RNA
Rfam family: Bacterial small subunit ribosomal RNA
Source: RNAcentral